Arxiozyma heterogenica is the source of this 97-nucleotide non-coding RNA. The record is from the annotation of a RefSeq genome assembly. NCBI's taxonomy places the organism in Eukaryota, Fungi, Ascomycota, Saccharomycetes, Saccharomycetales, Saccharomycetaceae.
GGCACUAUGGCCGAGUGGUUAAGGCGAGAGACUCGAAUUGUGUGGUUUGGUGAUCUCUUGGGCUCUGCCCGCGCUGGUUCAAAUCCUGCUGGUGUCG